This 453-nucleotide ribosomal RNA is filed under the name uncultured Streptomyces sp. RNAcentral's name for it is "bacterial SSU rRNA". It matches the Rfam family "Bacterial small subunit ribosomal RNA", at positions 59 to 525 of the family's 1533-position model. The record is from RNAcentral. Lineage: Bacteria; Bacillati; Actinomycetota; Actinomycetes; Kitasatosporales; Streptomycetaceae.
AAGUCGAACGAUGAACNUCNUUCGGGAGGGGAUUAAGUGGCGAACGGGGUGAGUAACACGUGGGCAAUCUGCCCUGCACUCUGGGACAAGCCCUGGAAACGGGGUCUAAUACCGGAUACGAGCCUGGGAGGCAUCUCCCGGGUUGGAAAGCUCCGGCGGUGCAGGAUGAGCCCGCGGCCUAUCAGCUUGUUGGUGAGGUAAUGGCUCACCAAGGCGACGACGGGUAGCCGGCCUGAGAGGGCGACCGGCCACACUGGGACUGAGACACGGCCCAGACUCCUACGGGAGGCAGCAGUGGGGAAUAUUGCACAAUGGGCGCAAGCCUGAUGCAGCGACGCCGCGUGAGGGAUGACGGCCUUCGGGUUGUAAACCUCUUUCAGCAGGGAAGAAGCGCAAGUGACGGUACCUGCAGAAGAAGCGCCGGCUAACUACGUGCCAGCAGCCGCGGUAAUA